RNAcentral lists this signal recognition particle RNA (103 nucleotides) under Aneurinibacillus aneurinilyticus ATCC 12856. RNAcentral's name for it is "Bacterial signal recognition particle RNA". It matches the Rfam family "Bacterial small signal recognition particle RNA". Rfam says of the family: The signal recognition particle (SRP) is a universally conserved ribonucleoprotein involved in the co-translational targeting of proteins to membranes. Lineage: Bacteria; Bacillati; Bacillota; Bacilli; Caryophanales; Paenibacillaceae. The record is from RNAcentral.
GAGCUGGGUCCUGCGCAACGGGAACCCAUGAACCUGGUCAGGUCCGGAAGGAAGCAGCCAUAAGUGGAUCCUUCCGUGUGCCGCAGGGCAGCCUGGCUUGAGC